UUAAGCGACUAAGCGUACACGGUGGAUGCCCUGGCAGUCAGAGGCGAUGAAGGACGUGCUAAUCUGCGAUAAGCGUCGGUAAGGUGAUAUGAACCGUUAUAACCGGCGAUUUCCGAAUGGGGAAACCCAGUGUGUUUCGACACACUAUCAUUAACUGAAUCCAUAGGUUAAUGAGGCGAACCGGGGGAACUGAAACAUCUAAGUACCCCGAGGAAAAGAAAUCAACCGAGAUUCCCCCAGUAGCGGCGAGCGAACGGGGAGGAGCCCAGAGCCUGAAUCAGUGUGUGUGUUAGUGGAAGCGUCUGGAAAGGCGCGCGAUACAGGGUGACAGCCCCGUACACAAAAAUGCACAUGCUGUGAGCUCGAUGAGUAGGGCGGGACACGUGGUAUCCUGUCUGAAUAUGGGGGGACCAUCCUCCAAGGCUAAAUACUCCUGACUGACCGAUAGUGAACCAGUACCGUGAGGGAAAGGCGAAAAGAACCCCGGCGAGGGGAGUGAAAAAGAACCUGAAACCGUGUACGUACAAGCAGUGGGAGCCUCUUUUAUGGGGUGACUGCGUACCUUUUGUAUAAUGGGUCAGCGACUUAUAUUCUGUAGCAAGGUUAACCGAAUAGGGGAGCCGAAGGGAAACCGAGUCUUAACUGGGCGUUAAGUUGCAGGGUAUAGACCCGAAACCCGGUGAUCUAGCCAUGGGCAGGUUGAAGGUUGGGUAACACUAACUGGAGGACCGAACCGACUAAUGUUGAAAAAUUAGCGGAUGACUUGUGGCUGGGGGUGAUAGGCCAAUCAAACCGGGAGAUAGCUGGUUCUCCCGAAAGCUAUUUAGGUAGCGCCUCGUGAAUUCAUCUCCGGGGUAGAGCACUGUUUCGGCAAGGGGGUCAUCCCGACUUACCAACCCGAUGCAAACUGCGAAUACCGGAGAAUGUUAUCACGGGAGACACACGGCGGGUGCUAACGUCCGUCGUGAAGAGGGAACAACCCAGACCGCCAGCUAAGGUCCCAAAGUCAUGGUUAAGUGGGAAACGAUGUGGGAAGGCCCAGACAGCCAGGAUGUUGGCUUAGAAGCAGCCAUCAUUUAAAGAAAGCGUAAUAGCUCACUGGUCGAGUCGGCCUGCGCGGAAGAUGUAACGGGGGCUAAACCAUGCACCGAAGCUGCGGCAGCGACACUGUGUGUUGUUGGGUAGGGGAGCGUUCUGUAAGCCUGUGAAGGUGUGCUGUGAGGCAUGCUGGAGGUAUCAGAAGUGCGAAUGCUGACAUAAGUAACGAUAAAGCGGGUGAAAAGCCCGCUCGCCGGAAGACCAAGGGUUCCUGUCCAACGUUAAUCGGGGCAGGGUGAGUCGACCCCUAAGGCGAGGCCGAAAGGCGUAGUCGAUGGGAAACAGGUUAAUAUUCCUGUACUUGGUGUUACUGCGAAGGGGGGACGGAGAAGGCUAUGUUGGCCGGGCGACGGUUGUCCCGGUUUAAGCGUGUAGGCUGGUUUUCCAGGCAAAUCCGGAAAAUCAAGGCUGAGGCGUGAUGACGAGGCACUACGGUGCUGAAGCAACAAAUGCCCUGCUUCCAGGAAAAGCCUCUAAGCAUCAGGUAACAUCAAAUCGUACCCCAAACCGACACAGGUGGUCAGGUAGAGAAUACCAAGGCGCUUGAGAGAACUCGGGUGAAGGAACUAGGCAAAAUGGUGCCGUAACUUCGGGAGAAGGCACGCUGAUAUGUAGGUGAAGUCCCUCGCGGAUGGAGCUGAAAUCAGUCGUAGAUACCAGCUGGCUGCAACUGUUUAUUAAAAACACAGCACUGUGCAAACACGAAAGUGGACGUAUACGGUGUGACGCCUGCCCGGUGCCGGAAGGUUAAUUGAUGGGGUCAGCGCAAGCGAAGCUCUUGAUCGAAGCCCCGGUAAACGGCGGCCGUAACUAUAACGGUCCUAAGGUAGCGAAAUUCCUUGUCGGGUAAGUUCCGACCUGCACGAAUGGCGUAAUGAUGGCCAGGCUGUCUCCACCCGAGACUCAGUGAAAUUGAACUCGCUGUGAAGAUGCAGUGUACCCGCGGCAAGACGGAAAGACCCCGUGAACCUUUACUAUAGCUUGACACUGAACAUUGAGCCUUGAUGUGUAGGAUAGGUGGGAGGCUUUGAAGUGUGGACGCCAGUCUGCAUGGAGCCGACCUUGAAAUACCACCCUUUAAUGUUUGAUGUUCUAACGUGGACCCGUGAUCCGGGUUGCGGACAGUGUCUGGUGGGUAGUUUGACUGGGGCGGUCUCCUCCUAAAGAGUAACGGAGGAGCACGAAGGUUGGCUAAUCCUGGUCGGACAUCAGGAGGUUAGUGCAAUGGCAUAAGCCAGCUUGACUGCGAGCGUGACGGCGCGAGCAGGUGCGAAAGCAGGUCAUAGUGAUCCGGUGGUUCUGAAUGGAAGGGCCAUCGCUCAACGGAUAAAAGGUACUCCGGGGAUAACAGGCUGAUACCGCCCAAGAGUUCAUAUCGACGGCGGUGUUUGGCACCUCGAUGUCGGCUCAUCACAUCCUGGGGCUGAAGUAGGUCCCAAGGGUAUGGCUGUUCGCCAUUUAAAGUGGUACGCGAGCUGGGUUUAGAACGUCGUGAGACAGUUCGGUCCCUAUCUGCCGUGGGCGCUGGAGAACUGAGGGGGGCUGCUCCUAGUACGAGAGGACCGGAGUGGACGCAUCACUGGUGUUCGGGUUGUCAUGCCAAUGGCACUGCCCGGUAGCUAAAUGCGGAAGAGAUAAGUGCUGAAAGCAUCUAAGCACGAAACUUGCCCCGAGAUGAGUUCUCCCUGACCCUUUAAGGGUCCUGAAGGAACGUUGAAGACGACGACGUUGAUAGGCCGGGUGUGUAAGCGCAGCGAUGCGUUGAGCUAACCGGUACUAAUGAACCGUGAGGCUUAACCUU
RNAcentral lists this ribosomal RNA (2899 nucleotides) under Escherichia coli DEC5D. Its description in RNAcentral is "bacterial LSU rRNA". It matches the Rfam family "Bacterial large subunit ribosomal RNA". The record is from RNAcentral. Lineage: Bacteria; Pseudomonadati; Pseudomonadota; Gammaproteobacteria; Enterobacterales; Enterobacteriaceae.